UAAAGUCCUGUCCCCUUCCUGCCUUCAAGGGCACCCCUGAAGGACCAUAUCCACUGUGGACCCCCUUGGGAUCAGCCGAGUGACUCGAAGGAAUUGGGUCUUGAGACACAGCCGAGCCUGUGAGCGCUGACCUGUGUAAAGAAGACACCAGAAUGAGAUGUCUCCACACACAGAGAGCUGCAGCCGAUGCCGGCCGGUGACUUGGGACUUGGAUGCUUAACAGGAGGCUCCCCCUCUCUUGGGAGGUAGAGAGCAGUGAGGAAGGGGACUCAGCCUCCAUGCCUCCCGCCAGCCCAGCUGCGCCCGAAUCACCUCCCUCCUGAAAGGAUGUCAGCCUCUGCUUGGACACCGUGGAGACAGGGCCCUCCUUGUGCUUCAGAAGCAUCAACGUGUCAGAAAAUCAUCUUCACGCCAAGUCUGGAAAAAAUGGCUUUGAGGUUGUGCACACAAAGGAAGGAGGGAGAGCCCCAGGUGUCGCGGAGGACCAUGCGGCUGACAGAGCCAGCAGGGCGGUGGCGUGUGAGCCGUGCUCUGGAUAUAUAAGGAUCUGACGCUGCUGGCAAUGUCUGAGCUCUAUGCUCGCCCAUCUGUCGGCUGCUAUCAUCACCGGGUGGGAUUAGCGGAGAUCCACUCUUUCAUAUUUAAAUCUUCACAAGAGAAUGAAUCACUUUUAUAAUAAAAGAAAAAGACCGUCCAUGUUGUUAAUGUGCACACAGCAAGUUGGAAGGCCGGGGAGGGCAGCGGGUGGGGACGCUGACCCAGGCGCCCCCCUGCUGCCUGGAACAGCCCCAGGCCUGCUCCACUGUCCCCUCGGGGUUCCCUGUCGAAGAGGCCAAAGAGUGGAGGGGCUGGUGCCUAGAGGGUGUGGAGCUGCAGGUGCACAGUACAGCUGGCACCUGGCAGAGGUGGU
This 910-nucleotide long non-coding RNA is filed under the name Homo sapiens (human). RNAcentral describes it as "non-protein coding LINC00659:2". Lineage: Eukaryota; Metazoa; Chordata; Mammalia; Primates; Hominidae. The record is from RNAcentral.